UCAGCGGCGGACGGGUGAGUAAUGCCUAGGAAUCUGCCCGAUAGUGGGGGACAACGUUUCGAAAGGAACGCUAAUACCGCAUACGUCCUACGGGAGAAAGUGGGGGAUCUUCGGACCUCACGCUAUCGGAUGAGCCUAGGUCGGAUUAGCUAGUUGGUGAGGUAAUGGCUCACCAAGGCUACGAUCCGUAACUGGUCUGAGAGGAUGAUCAGUCACACUGGAACUGAGACACGGUCCAGACUCCUACGGGAGGCAGCAGUGGGGAAUAUUGGACAAUGGGCGAAAGCCUGAUCCAGCCAUGCCGCGUGUGUGAAGAAGGUCUUCGGAUUGUAAAGCACUUUAAGUUGGGAGGAAGGGCAUUAACCUAAUACGUUAGUGUUUUGACGUUACCGACAGAAUAAGCACCGGCUAACUUCGUGCCAGCAGCCGCGGUAAUACGAAGGGUGCAAGCGUUAAUCGGAAUUACUGGGCGUAAAGCGUGCGCAGGCGGCUAUGCAAGACAGAUGUGAAAUCCCCGGGCUCAACCUGGGAACUGCAUUUGUGACUGCAUGGCUAGAGUGCGUCAGAGGGAGGUGGAAUUCCGCGUGUAGCAGUGAAAUGCGUAGAGAUGCGGAGGAACACCGAUGGCGAAGGCAGCCUCCUGGGAUGACACUGACGCUCAUGCACGAAAGCGUGGGGAGCAAACAGGAUUAGAUACCCUGGUAGUCCACGCCCUAAACGAUGUCAACUAGUUGUCGGGGAUUCAUUUCCUUGGUAACGCAGCUAACGCGUGAAGUUGACCGCCUGGGGAGUACGGCCGCAAGGUUAAAACUCAAA
This 816-nucleotide ribosomal RNA is filed under the name uncultured bacterium. RNAcentral describes it as "bacterial SSU rRNA". It matches the Rfam family "Bacterial small subunit ribosomal RNA", at positions 92 to 905 of the family's 1533-position model. The record is from RNAcentral.